AGGAGGAGCUGCAGUGUUGACAUAUGAGGACGGCUCUGGCAGAAUUUUUACAUGUUCUGGGAUUUAUCCAGGUUGAACUUGGCUGUGGAUCUAAAUCUGACCUGGAUUCAUAUCAUGGUGCUGCUCUCCACUCUGCAUCCAGUGUUGCGGAUGAGGACGGAGGUUUGGCCUGCCUCUUGAGGACUCUCAUUGAUUGUGGACAGGAGUGGCAGCAGCAGGCGUGGCAGCCUCGUGGCAUUUUCAGAUUGCCUCUUACGUGCCGCAGCGACAUUCCUCUGUGACCCAGCCUGCCGGUCAAGCACCGUCCAAGUGACAAAAUCCUCCACAACCCUCUCCACAUCCCGCGGUGUUAAGGGACCAAACGUGAUUGUGGGCACUUGUCACGCUACACCCCCCUGUCUGUGGAGCUGCAUGAAAAAAGAAGGUAAACCGAUGGAAAGAUCAGACUGAAGUUGGAUCAGAGAGGCAGAAUCAUAGCCCUUCAUCUCCUGUGGAAAUAUAAUAGAAACAAAAAAAAGCUACGGAUGCCGCCAUCUUUGGGUCCAAGAGAUCCUGCAGGAGACCAUUCAGCGUCUCCUUGGUUUCUCUUUUUCAUCGUGAUGAUGAACUUUCACCUUGUGCAUACGUCGCCAUAUGAUCUGGGCUCUGACUGGUCAAGGCACCGCAACAUGAUGCUGGAGGUC
Long non-coding RNA from Synchiropus splendidus (mandarinfish), 683 nucleotides. RefSeq lists it as uncharacterized. The record is from RefSeq and is a predicted model, not a curated record. NCBI's taxonomy places the organism in Eukaryota, Metazoa, Chordata, Actinopteri, Syngnathiformes, Callionymidae. The transcript has 3 exons.